This 947-nucleotide transfer RNA is filed under the name uncultured Synechococcus sp. RNAcentral describes it as "partial contains 16S ribosomal RNA, 16S-23S ribosomal RNA intergenic spacer, tRNA-Ile, tRNA-Ala, and 23S ribosomal RNA". The stretch from base 313 to 385 matches the Rfam family "tRNA". The record is from RNAcentral. Lineage: Bacteria; Bacillati; Cyanobacteriota; Cyanophyceae; Synechococcales; Synechococcaceae.
UGGAUCACCUCCUAACAGGGAUACAAUAACUAAUCGUGAUGUCUGAGUAGUUUAUUCUCAGGCCCAUGAUUCUGUCAUCUCUAAGGUCGAUCGGUACCUCAAUUUGAGAGCUAGUGAAGGAUUGGGCAACCAACCUGGAGACCAGUUUAUCAAUUUCAGUUCCUAAACUUUGUCUAGGUCACCCCAAAGCGGGUUACACUCCUGGGCCAUUAGCUCAGGUGGUUAGAGCGCACCCCUGAUAAGGGUGAGGUCCCUGGUUCAAGUCCAGGAUGGCCCAUUCACCGCCUGCUUAGCAGGCAGGACUUGAUGGCUGGGGGUUUAGCUCAGUUGGUAGAGCGCCUGCUUUGCAAGCAGGAUGUCAGCGGUUCGAGUCCGCUAACCUCCAUCCAAUGUUUGCUCAGCCUUCAAGCCAAACCAGUUAUGCCAUUGCAUAGAGACUAAGUGUGUCGCAGGGCACUACAGUAGGGAACUACAGCAUGGCAGCUCAACAGGGGAGUGCAGCCGUGUAGGUGAUCUGGAAAAUUUGCUGUUGAUUUCAGCUUCUUUCCAUCGAUAGGAUGGAAGGACGCUGGAUUCAUAAUUGCCCCAUAAAUGGGGCCGUGUGUAUUUCAGCAGAACCUUGACAACUGUAUAGGAAAGUCUGGAAAUAAAGCAUCUCAUGGAUGCUUGAUUUUUAGCCCGAUCGCUGGUUCAGCAAUGGACAGGCGGUGGGAGAGAAAUCAAGAAAAUUCUAUUGAGUUUUAAGAGCCGAGAGCUUUCAGUUUUCUUACUUGUCCGCCGAGGACAAGUGAGUUUGAUCCUGGCAUUCAAACCGCAUUAGUCUCCAUAAGCAAUUAUGGAGCCUGGUGGAGGUGAAUCCAGCGAGAAUCGGCCUCAACAGCCGCGCGUAGCUCGAGAAAUCGAAGCUGCCAAGAACUGGAAGUAUAAAUUGGUCAAGCUACAAAGGG